GAUGAACGCUGGCGGUAUGCUUUACACAUGCAAGUCAUACGAGAGUUUUUAACUCAAGUGGCGGACGGGUGAGUAACACGUAAGAAUUUGCCUUUAGGAGGGGGACAACAACUGGAAACGGCUGCUAAUACCCCAUAUGCUUUCGAGUGAAAUGAAUUUAUUCGCCUAAAGAGAAGCUUGCGGCUGAUUAGCUUGUUGGUGAGGUAAUGGCUUACCAAGGCGACGAUCAGUAUCUGGUUUGAGAGGAUGAUCAGACACACUGGAACUGAGACACGGUCCAGACUCCUACGGGAGGCAGCAGUGGGGAAUUUUCCGCAAUGGGCGAAAGCCUGACGGAGCAAUACCGCGUGAGGGAUGACUGCCUAUGGGUUGUAAACCUCUUUUUUCAGGGAGGAAUAAAAUGACGUGUACCUGAAGAAUAAGCAUCGGCUAACUCCGUGCCAGCCGCCGCCGUAACAC
Molecule: ribosomal RNA, 459 nt
Filed under: uncultured bacterium
Lineage: Bacteria
Description: bacterial SSU rRNA
Rfam family: Bacterial small subunit ribosomal RNA
Source: RNAcentral